Molecule: non-coding RNA, 408 nt
Organism: Pelobates cultripes (western spadefoot toad)
Lineage: Eukaryota; Metazoa; Chordata; Amphibia; Anura; Pelobatidae
Source: the annotation of a GenBank genome assembly
AAAAGGUUUCUAUAAAUGCAAAACGUGUAUUGUGUGUAAAACUACCGAUUCCACUCUACCAUCUAAAAUUACCGAAUUUACUUCCAAUAGAACGAGAACUACCUAUCAAAUUAAAGAAUUUAUAAGUUGUAACACCAAAAACGUGAUUUAUCUGCUUGAAUGCCCUUGUGGCUUCCAGUAUGUUGGAAUGACCACAAGGUGCCUGAAAAUAAGGAUAAGCGAACAUUGUAGAAACAUUAAAAAUGGAUACUUAAAUCAUUCAGUAUCCAAACAUUUUUUAAAUCACGAUAAAGACCCUAAACUAUUAAAAUGUAUGGGAAUUAAAAAAUGUUCAAUACCAUGGAGAGGAGGUGAUAUUAAGAAUAUUUUAGGUAAAGUGGAAAUGGAAUGGGUUUAUAAACUACAAAC